This 137-nucleotide ribosomal RNA is filed under the name uncultured bacterium. RNAcentral's name for it is "partial 16S ribosomal RNA". It matches the Rfam family "Bacterial small subunit ribosomal RNA", at positions 355 to 509 of the family's 1533-position model. The record is from RNAcentral.
UGGGGGAUAUUGCACAAUGGGGGGAACCCUGAUGCAGCGACGCCGCGUGAGUGAAGAAGCGCCUCGGCGCGUAAAGCCCUGUCAGCAGGGAAGAAAAUGACGGUACCUGAAGAAGAAGCCCCGGCUAACUACGUGCC